This 253-nucleotide ribosomal RNA is filed under the name uncultured bacterium. Its description in RNAcentral is "partial 16S ribosomal RNA". It matches the Rfam family "Bacterial small subunit ribosomal RNA", at positions 524 to 776 of the family's 1533-position model. The record is from RNAcentral.
GACGUAGGGCGCGAGCGUUGUCCGGAUUUAUUGGGCGUAAAGAGCUCUUAGGCGGCUUGUCGCGUCGUCCGUGAAAACCCACAGCUCAACUGUGGGCUUGCGGUCGAUACGGGCAGGCUAGAGUUCGGUAGGGGAGACUGGAAUUCCUGGUGUAGCGGUGAAAUGCGCAGAUAUCAGGAGGAACACCGGUGGCGAAGGCGGGUCUCUGGGCCGAUACUGACGCUGAGGAGCGAAAGCGUGGGGAGCGAACAGG